GACGAACGCUGGCGGCGUGCUUAACACAUGCAAGUCGAACGGAAAGGCCCUGCUUUUGUGGGGUGCUUGAGUGGCGAACGGGUGAGUAACACGUGAGUAACCUGCCCUUGACUUUGGGAUAACUUCAGGAAACUGGGGCUAAUACCGGAUAGGAGCUCCUGCUGCAUGGUGGGGGUUGGAAAGUUUCGGCGGUUGGGGAUGUACUCGCGGCUUAUCAGCUUGUUGGUGGGGUAGUGGCUUACCAAGGCUUUGACGGGUAGCCGGCCUGAGAGGGUGACCGGCCACAUUGGGACUGAGAUACGGCCCAGACUCCUACGGGAGGCAGCAGUGGGGAAUAUUGCACAAUGGGCGGAAGCCUGAUGCAGCAACGCCGCGUGCGGGAUGACGGCCUUCGGGUUGUAAACCGCUUUCGCCUGUGACGAAGCGUGAGUGACGGUAAUGGGUAAAGAAGCACCGGCUAACUACGUG
Molecule: ribosomal RNA, 468 nt
Filed under: uncultured bacterium
Lineage: Bacteria
Description: partial 16S ribosomal RNA
Rfam family: Bacterial small subunit ribosomal RNA
Source: RNAcentral